GGGGUGUCGAAGGAGUUGUGCUCCGUGCGUGGGUUCGGUGGCCUCGUGCAUGGUCUGUACCCCUGUGUGGGGCCUCCGCGGGGUCUGUGUUUCUGUGUAGGGCCUGUAAACCUGCGUGGGGUCCGUACAAGGCCUGAGUGGACCCGGUACUCUCCUCACGGGGCCCGUAUCCCCUGCAUGGGACCUGUACCUGUCUAUAGAGCCUGCGUGGGACCUGUACCCCAUAUAGGGCCUGUGUGGGGCCUGUACCCCUCUAUGUAGAGCCUGCGUGGGACCUGUACCCCUAUAUAGGGCCUGCGUGGGACCUGUACCCCUAUAUAG
RNAcentral lists this long non-coding RNA (321 nucleotides) under Gallus gallus (chicken). The record is from RNAcentral. Lineage: Eukaryota; Metazoa; Chordata; Aves; Galliformes; Phasianidae.